RNAcentral lists this ribosomal RNA (398 nucleotides) under uncultured bacterium. RNAcentral describes it as "bacterial SSU rRNA". It matches the Rfam family "Bacterial small subunit ribosomal RNA", at positions 30 to 430 of the family's 1533-position model. The record is from RNAcentral.
AUUGAACGCUGGCGGCAUGCCUUACACAUGCAAGUCGAACGGCAGCACGGGAGCAAUCCUGGUGGCGAGUGGCGAACGGGUGAGUAAUAUAUCGGAACGUGCCCAGUAGUGGGGGAUAACUGCUCGAAAGAGCAGCUAAUACCGCAUACGACCUGAGGGUGAAAGGGGGGGAGUCGCAAGACCUCUCGCUAUUGGAGCGGCCGAUAUCAGAUUAGCUAGUUGGUGGGGUAAAGGCCUACCAAGGCAACGAUCUGUAGUUGGUCUGAGAGGACGACCAGCCACACUGGGACUGAGACACGGCCCAGACUCCUACGGGAGGCAGCAGUGGGGAAUUUUGGACAAUGGGCGCAAGCCUGAUCCAGCAAUGCCGCGUGCAGGAAGAAGGCCUCGUUGGUAAC